GAUGAACGCUGGCGGCGUGCCUAAUACAUGCAAGUCGAGCGAACAGACGAGGAGCUUGCUCCUCUGACGUUAGCGGCGGACGGGUGAGUAACACGUGGAUAACCUACCUAUAAGACUGGGAUAACUUCGGGAAACCGGAGCUAAUACCGGAUAAUAUAUUGAACCGCAUGGUUCAAUAGUGAAAGACGGUUUUGCUGUCACUUAUAGAUGGAUCCGCGCCGCAUUAGCUAGUUGGUAAGGUAACGGCUUACCAAGGCAACGAUGCGUAGCCGACCUGAGAGGGUGAUCGGCCACACUGGAACUGAGACACGGUCCAGACUCCUACGGGAGGCAGCAGUAGGGAAUCUUCCGCAAUGGGCGAAAGCCUGACGGAGCAACGCCGGGUGAGUGAUGAAGGUCUUCGGAUCGUAAAACUCUGUUAUUAGGGAAGAACAAAUGUGUAAGUAACUAUGCACGUCUUGACGGUGCCUAAUCAGAAAGCCACGGCUAACUACGUG
RNAcentral lists this ribosomal RNA (497 nucleotides) under uncultured bacterium. Its description in RNAcentral is "partial 16S ribosomal RNA". It matches the Rfam family "Bacterial small subunit ribosomal RNA", at positions 28 to 507 of the family's 1533-position model. The record is from RNAcentral.